UACAGAGGUCUCAAGCGUUGUUCGGAUUCAUUGGGCGUAAAGGGUGCGUAGGCGGCAUGGUAAGUCGGACGUGAAAUCUUGAGGCUCAACCCCAAGACUGCGUUCGAUACUGCUGUGCUUGAAGACUGAAGAGGGGAUUGGAAUUCACGGUGUAGCAGUGAAAUGCGUAGAUAUCUGAAGGAACACCAGUGGCGAAAGCGGCUUCCUGGUCCAGUACCGACGUUCAGGCACGAAAGCGUGGGGAGCAAACAGG
Molecule: ribosomal RNA, 253 nt
Filed under: uncultured bacterium
Lineage: Bacteria
Description: partial 16S ribosomal RNA
Rfam family: Bacterial small subunit ribosomal RNA
Source: RNAcentral